Molecule: ribosomal RNA, 433 nt
Filed under: uncultured bacterium
Lineage: Bacteria
Description: partial 16S ribosomal RNA
Rfam family: Bacterial small subunit ribosomal RNA
Source: RNAcentral
AGCGAACGCUGGCGGCAGGCCUAACACAUGCAAGUCGAACGAACUCUUCGGAGUUAGUGGCGGACGGGUGAGUAACACGUGGGAACGUGCCUUUUGGUUCGGAAUAACUCAGGGAAACUUGUGCUAAUACCGAAUGUGCCCUUCGGGGGAAAGAUUUAUCGCCAUUAGAGCGGCCCGCGUCUGAUUAGCUAGUUGGUGAGGUAACGGCUCACCAAGGCGGCGAUCAGUAGCUGGUCUGAGAGGAUGACCAGCCACACUGGGACUGAGACACGGCCCAGACUCCUACGGGAGGCAGCAGUGGGGAAUCUUGCGCAAUGGGCGAAAGCCUGACGCAGCCAUGCCGCGUGAAUGAUGAAGGUCUUAGGAUUGUAAAAUUCUUUCACCGGGGACGAUAAUGACGGUACCCGGAGAAGAAGCCCCGGCUAACUUCGUG